This is a long non-coding RNA of Oncorhynchus tshawytscha (Chinook salmon), 1484 nucleotides long. NCBI's taxonomy places the organism in Eukaryota, Metazoa, Chordata, Actinopteri, Salmoniformes, Salmonidae. The record is from Ensembl.
UGUAAAUGCGUUCCGUUUGUCAUAACGCGUUGUAAAUGCGUCCCGUUUGUCAUAACGCGUUGUAAAUGCGUCCCGUUUGUCAUAACGCGUUGUAAAUGCGUUCCGUUUGUCAUAACGCGUUGUAAAUGCGUUCCGUUUGUCAUAACGCGUUCAAGGAAGGCCUGCAGAAAAUUCAGUCAUUACCGACCGCGAUCACUUCUGGUCUGGGAACGGGUGAGAGUCCACGCCAAAAGACGAACAAUGCCUCUUCAGUUCGUGCCCAACAAAAGAGCGAGGGAACGUAUUUGAGUUUCAGAGCACGUCCUUUCUUACACAGAAGAGUGGACUAACCCCCCCCUAAAAAAAAAAAAAAAAAAAAAAGAACUUGCAGACUCUCAGAGCUUCAAUUGUGCACUCUUUAUUUGGUGCUGUAGAUGUUAUGGGAAAGUUCUCUCUCGCUCACUCUCCCCCCCGCCCCCUUCCUCUCAAUCUCUCCUUCUCUCAUGUGCUCGGAAUAUGCUCAGGGUUAACUCAGAGCAACCGAAGCACGCGUAAUGAAUUGAGUAUUAGCGGCAAUUUUAAAGGAAGGGACGGCCGUGGAAGGCUGGAUAUUUGGCGGACUGUCCAACGGGUCCCACACAGCAUGUAUCUUAUAUGGGAUGAUUUCUGAUUGCAUAUGCCGAUUGCGGCGAUGCUUCUCGCGCAGUUUGAGAAAGGUUGGAGAAAUAUGGCCCUGAUUCCCCUGCUUAGGAGAGAGGCCAAGUGGACAUGUCUGUCUGGGACUUUGCCUACUGCUGAACCAACAUGAGCUCAGGUGAGAGAGGAGUCAUCGGGAGCCAGACAGAGAGUACCAGGAUAACGGCUGUGUCCAUGUGUUAAGGAUGACCCACAGAUCACAGAGAUGGAGCAUCUAUCUGCGUGACCCUUUACUGUUGUCUCUAGUGGGGCUCGAGACAUGGGCUUCGAACACCACCUGAACAUCAACAUGCACAACCAUCAAGAUACAGUACGCUGAGAAGACAGAUACAGAACUCUACUAUUUAUAAUCAGCAUGCAUAUAUCUGUUCUAGAUACACAGAAACCACCAAAUACACACUAACAUCCUUUGAAUCAAGUCAGUUUUUUGUAUCAUUGUGAUUUAAAUCUGUAAGUUGUAAAACUGUUUACCAUGUCUACUCACUGGGAUGUAGAAGUACAACAUUAUUUAUUCUGAAUUGUAAAAGUCUGUAUUGGUGUAUUGGAUUUUGAAUUAACCUGUCCUUAGAAUACAGCAUAACAUCUGAAGGGAACCCGCAGGACACAUUGUCUUUAUCUGACAUUGACUGAAUUUAUAGAAAAAGUAAACAUCAAAGGGAAUAUUUUUGUACUUUCUCAAAUCAUUGUAUUUUCUCAAUGAACAGAAUAAAAUAUAUUCAAGAAUAUUUUGUUUCUGAGUUUUUUACAGUAUGUCUACAGUACUGUAUAUACCUUUGACAUGACUAGAUCCUCUGUGGGAUCAAUGUGAA